This 73-nucleotide transfer RNA is filed under the name Phycisphaeraceae bacterium. RNAcentral's name for it is "tRNA-Thr". It matches the Rfam family "tRNA". Rfam says of the family: Transfer RNA (tRNA) molecules are approximately 80 nucleotides in length. Their secondary structure includes four short double-helical elements and three loops (D, anti-codon, and T loops). Lineage: Bacteria; Pseudomonadati; Planctomycetota; Phycisphaerae; Phycisphaerales; Phycisphaeraceae. The record is from RNAcentral.
GCCGCGUUAGCUCAGUUGGUAGAGCAGCGGUUUUGUAAACCGCAGGUCGUCGGUUCAAGUCCGACACGCGGCU